This is a long non-coding RNA of Gambusia affinis (western mosquitofish), 626 nucleotides long. RefSeq lists it as uncharacterized. The transcript has 4 exons. The record is from RefSeq and is a predicted model, not a curated record. Lineage: Eukaryota; Metazoa; Chordata; Actinopteri; Cyprinodontiformes; Poeciliidae.
CAGCCGGGUGUCCGCUUUCAGUUUACCUGCAGAGACGUGAAGCUCAUCUUAUACACUAUUCAUGUGAAUGUCUAUUCUUAUGAAAUUACAUACUGUAUGUUUAAAUUAGUCUCGGAGCUUAUUAAAGAAACGUUCACGUGAAUGAAGAUUAAUGUUGCAGGUAUUUGCAGCCCAUCUCCUCGGGAGGCCUCAUCCAUCAGCGGAGGUGUCUGGGCGACACAACCGCCCCGACACAUACUAACCCAUUUACACACAGGAGCAUACGGGAAAACAUCACUCAAGAUGGCUAACUCGCUUACUGACAGCUGAUGUGGUGAAAAUUCUCCAGCUUGUCCCCCGAGUCCCCCCGGCGCGUCCAACGACGUUUUAAGGAAAGAUAAAUUCAGCUGGCAGAAACUGGGGUGGGUGAGGGUGCAGUUGGAUUUGAAUCGGCUUGGGUCACUUCAUCCAUCUUCAUUGUUUAAGAGGCCUGCUGGAGAAGCAUCAUUUGAUUCGGCUGUGUUGGACCACAGCUUGCCAGAUAUGAAACCUUGAGGACUGCCUUCGGACACUGGUUUAAGGAUCUCUACAUGACAAGGCAAUGAGUGCGAUGUUAAGCUCAAUACAGACAUUUCUCUCUCUCUCUA